This is a non-coding RNA of Camelina sativa (false flax), 954 nucleotides long. The record is from RefSeq and is a predicted model, not a curated record. NCBI's taxonomy places the organism in Eukaryota, Viridiplantae, Streptophyta, Magnoliopsida, Brassicales, Brassicaceae.
GUGUGGCGUAGUCAAAUGGAGGAAAUUAGACCUAAUCUUUUUUUACCCUUCUGCUAUUUUUGGGUCGAGAGAGAGCCAUUGUUCUUAAGAUAAAGGUUGUGUCUUUUUUUGUUUUGUUUUGUUUGCUCCUCUGCUUUUGUUUUCUAGUUUAAUCCAUGUUUUGAUUGAUUAUUGUUUUGUUUUGGUCUGAUGUAGUAUAUCAAGGCAAGUUGUCUUGUUGGUUUUAUGCUCUAGACUAGAAAUGGUUGCUUCUAUGAUUCAAUGAACGUGUUUUUAGGAUUUGUUUAUGGAUGCAGGACUCUUUAGAAGUGGCAAUGUUGAGAAUCCUUGGUUCUUCUUUGGAGCGUCUUGUUGAUCGUGUUUCCGGUAAUGGUGAUAUUGCUCUAUUUUUGCUUUGGUUUGUUAUGUAUCAAGAGACCUGAUUACUUUCCAAGAACUUGCCGGCGAAGUUACAAGUUCACAAGAACUUGGUAAGAGUUUUGGGUUGGUGUAAUAGCAGAAACCUGAGAGCUUUGGUUACAGAGUGGACUCAAGGAGAAACUGUUGAGACUUGGUUAAGUUCUUCAUCGGCUAUGUCAUGAAGAUUGGAGAUGGGAACAAUUCAUCAACAAGUAAGGGCUCUCUUCUCCUGAGAAAAAGACCAUUUGAUCAAGUUAAGCAAGCCAUUAUGCUUGGGCUGAUGUGUAGUGACAAACCACCAUUGAAGCAACCAACCUUGACGCAUAUUUAUGAAUCUUUUUUGUAUGAGUCUAGUUUAAGACAUGACUCAGAGAGAUGAGAGUUUAAUCUUUAUUUGCUUUGUUUUCAAUUUUCAGACAUGCUUAAGAUAAUACUUGUUUCAUUUGGCAUUGUUUAGGAUUUGAAUGUCUGUGUUUUUUUUUUUUUUUAUGAUUACUGCAAGUACUGAGAGAAUGAACACAUAAUUUUUUUCAACUUGCAAAACAGUUUCAGUUU